This 1438-nucleotide long non-coding RNA is filed under the name Equus asinus (donkey). RNAcentral's name for it is "lncRNA (ENSEASG00005037533.1)". Lineage: Eukaryota; Metazoa; Chordata; Mammalia; Perissodactyla; Equidae. The record is from RNAcentral.
GCGGAGCGCGCGAACUUAACCACUCGGCCACGGGGCCAGCCCCUGAUUAAAUAUUUUGAUUAGUAAUUAUAUUUAAGACUAAAGACUUAGUAUAUGGAUUUAACAAAAUUAUAUGCCACAAACAAAUGAUUUAAAAAAUUCUGAGCAUUUUGGGAAAUAUUUUCAUGAAAGAGCUUUAUAAGAGAAGAGAUGAGUGAAAAAUGCUGAUGCAGUACAUACUUUAUUACAGUGAUGUUUAAACAAAGAGUUUCACACUUGGAAACCGAUCAGGGAGUCUGUGAAGACUGAGCGGACACACUGGCCAAGGCUAGCCAAUUUUCCUUUCCUAAGAAAAAAGGCUUCUGUAAAUAAAGAAAAAAACUGAAAUGUCUUACAGUGAGUUUUAGGUCUUCUUCAUAGAAAAAUCAAGAUAAAUUUAAAGCCAGCCAUUAAUAUGCUACUCGCUUGCAUGUUAAAACAAAAAUAUGUUGAUAUACAAGAAUAAUUAAAUUUUUAUUUUCUGUUGUCUUGAAAACAAUGACUAAAAUGUAAUUCAGGAUUGUCUUUUUCUAGCCUGGCUUCUCACUUGUAUCAAAAGGUGACGGCACAGACCUGAACUGUGCCGAACACCAUGCUCUGUGACUGUUCAUGUGCUUGCUGCACUGGGUACACACCGUGUACACUCGUCAGGCUUUUCCCACCAUCCCAACUGAAUGGCGUCAAGCUCCCUCUCCCCGCCCCAGUGUGUAGCCUAAACCCCAAAGGAGAAAGCCGAGUCACCUGCGUCUUCCCAGUCUUCCACCUUUCGUUAAGCCAUUUCAGGAACACCAAGAGAUGGUCUGCCCUCUCCAUGACACUCGUCAGUCCUGACACACAACAGCAAAUAAAGCAGACUGACGUGAUGCCAACGUCUUUGUACUUCCACACUCUGGAACAAGCACACUUGCGAACAACCAGCUCCAGAAGUGUUAAAAGGCCCUCAAAAAAUUAGGAAUAAUAUCAUCUCUAGUAUAAAAGAAUUCAAAAACAUCCAGUUCCAAAUAGUCCCUGAGCAUACUGUUCAUUCCAGCAAGAUGUCUCCAGAGAGGUAAUGAAUGAAAGGCACAUUUUCUCCAACUUGAGGACCGUGCAUAGUACUAGCGAUACUACAGCAGCCAGGCUAACCAAGGUUCUAACCGAGGACACUCCCCCUCCCAAUUUUCAAUCUUGUACACUGGAAAAAGUAACAUUGGAUGGCAACACAACACUUCAGACGAGAGGAGUGGCAGCUGGAGUACAUCGACCCUUCGCAGAAGACUCAAGAGGAAGGACAGCUUCAAGACUCCUCUUCCUCCUUUUCCAGGAAAUCAGUCAACGUUCCACUGUCAACAGGAAUUAAUAAAUAUUCCACUCCAUCAGCUCCCUGAAAGAUGCAAGGAGACCCUGGGUGUUAGUCAUCUGGAAGAGAGAGAUGUGAAUC